GGGUUGUGAGGUUAAGUGACUAAGCGUACACGGUGGAUGCCUAGGCAGUCAGAGGCGAUGAAGGACGUGCUAAUCUGCGAUAAGCGUCGGUGAGCUGAUAUGAAGCAUUAUUAGCCGGCGAUGUCCGAAUGGGGAAACCCAGUGCAAUCCGUUGCACUAUCGUUAAGUGAAUACAUAGCUUAACGAGGCGAACCAGGGGAACUGAAACAUCUAAGUACCCUGAGGAAAAGAAAUCAACCGAGAUUCCCCAGUAGCGGCGAGCGAACGGGGAAGAGCCCAGAACCUGAAUCAGUUUGUGCAUUAGUGGAAGCGUCUGGAAAGUCGCGCGAUACCGGGUGAUAGCCCCGUACACGAAGGUGCACAGCUGUGAGUUCGAUGAGUAGGGCGGGACACGUGUUAUCCUGUCUGAAUAUGGGGGCUCCAAGGCUAAAUACUCCUGACUGACCGAUAGUGAACCAGUACCGUGAGGGAAAGGCGAAAAGAACGGGAGUGAAAUAGAACCUGAAACCGUGUACGUACAAGCAGUGGGAGCAUCCUUCGGGGUGUGACUGCGUACCUUUUGUAUAAUGGGUCAGCGACUUAUAUUUUGUAGCAAGGUUAACCGAAUAGGGGAGCCGUAGGGAAACCGAGUCUUAACUGGGCGUCUAGUUGCAAGGUAUAGACCCGAAACCCGGUGAUCUAGCCAUGGGCAGGUUGAAGGUUGGGUAACACUAACUGGAGGACCGAACCGACUAAUGUUGAAAAAUUAGCGGAUGACUUGUGGCUGGGGGUGAAAGGCCAAUCAAACCGGGAGAUAGCUGGUUCUCCCCGAAAGCUAUUUAGGUAGCGCCUCGUGAACUCAUCUUCGGGGGUAGAGCACUGUUUCGGCUAGGGGGUCAUCCCGACUUACCAACCCGAUGCAAACUACGAAUACCGAAGAAUGUUAUCACGGGAGACACACGGCGGGUGCUAACGUCCGUCGUGAAGAGGGAAACAACCCAGACCGCCAGCUAAGGUCCCAAAGUCAUGGUUAAGUGGGAAACGAUGUGGGAAGGCAUAGACAGCCAGGAUGUUGGCUUAGAAGCAGCCAUCAUUUAAAGAAAGCGUAAUAGCUCACUGGUCGAGUCGGCCUGCGCGGAAGAUGUAACGGGGCUAAACCAUGCACCGAAGCUGCGGCAGCGACACUAUGUGUUGUUGGGUAGGGGAGCGUUCUGUAAGCCUGUGAAGGUGGCCUGUGAGGGCUGCUGGAGGUAUCAGAAGUGCGAAUGCUGACAUAAGUAACGAUAAAGCGGGUGAAAAGCCCGCUCGCCGGAAGACCAAGGGUUCCUGUCCAACGUUAAUCGGGGCAGGGUAAGUCGACCCCUAAGGCGAGGCCGAAAGGCGUAGUCGAUGGGAAACAGGUUAAUAUUCCUGUACUUGGUGUUAUUGCGAAGGGGGGACGGAGAAGGCUAGACCGGCCGGGCGACGGUUGUCCCGGUUUAAGCGUGUAGGUGUGAUGACCUGGCAAAUCCGGUUAUCUUUAACACUGAGGCGUGAUGACGAGGCACUACGGUGCUGAAGUGGUUAAUGCCCUGCUUCCAGGAAAAGCCUCUAAGCUCUAGAUAACACUGAAUCGUACCCCAAACCGACACAGGUGGUCAGGUAGAGAAUACCAAGGCGCUUGAGAGAACUCGGGUGAAGGAACUAGGCAAAAUGGUGCCGUAACUUCGGGAGAAGGCACGCUGGCAUGUAGGUGAAGUCCCUCGCGGAUGGAGCCGAAGCCAGUCGAAGAUACCAGCUGGCUGCAACUGUUUAAUAAAAACACAGCACUCUGCAAACACGAAAGUGGACGUAUAGGGUGUGACGCCUGCCCGGUGCUGGAAGGUUAAUUGAUGGGGUCAGCCGCAAGGCGAAGCUCUUGAUCGAAGCCCCAGUAAACGGCGGCCGUAACUAUAACGGUCCUAAGGUAGCGAAAUUCCUUGUCGGGUAAGUUCCGACCUGCACGAAUGGCGUAAUGAUGGCCAGGCUGUCUCCACCCGAGACUCAGUGAAAUUGAACUCACUGUGAAGAUGCAGUGUACCCGCGGCAAGACGGAAAGACCCCGUGAACCUUUACUAUAGCUUGACACUGAACAUUGAACCUUGAUGUGUAGGAUAGGUGGGAGGCUUUGAAGUGUGGACGCCAGUCUGCAUGGAGCCGACCUUGAAAUACCACCCUUUAAUGUUUGAUGUUCUAACCUGGUCCCGUAAUCCGGGAUAGGGACAGUGUCUGGUGGGUAGUUUGACUGGGGCGGUCUCCUCCCAAAGAGUAACGGAGGAGCACGAAGGUUAGCUAAUCCUGGUCGGACAUCAGGAGGUUAGUGCAAAGGCAUAAGCUAGCUUGACUGCGAGAGUGACGGCUCGAGCAGGUGCGAAAGCAGGUCUUAGUGAUCCGGUGGUUCUGAAUGGAAGGGCCAUCGCUCAACGGAUAAAAGGUACUCCGGGGAUAACAGGCUGAUACCGCCCAAGAGUUCAUAUCGACGGCGGUGUUUGGCACCUCGAUGUCGGCUCAUCACAUCCUGGGGCUGAAGUAGGUCCCAAGGGUAUGGCUGUUCGCCAUUUAAAGUGGUACGCGAGCUGGGUUUAGAACGUCGUGAGACAGUUCGGUCCCUAUCUGCCGUGGGCGUUGGAAGAUUGAGAGGGGCUGCUCCUAGUACGAGAGGACCGGAGUGGACGCACCGCUGGUGUUCGGGUUGUGAUGCCAAUUGCAUUGCCCGGUAGCUACGUGCGGAAGAGAUAAGCGCUGAAAGCAUCUAAGCGCGAAACUUGCCUCGAGAUGAGUCUUCCCUUGGACCUUGAGUCCACUAAAGGAACGUUUAAGACUAAGACGUUGAUAGGCUGGGUGUGUAAGCGUAGCGAUACGUUGAGCUAACCAGUACUAAUGAUCCGUGAGGCUUAACCUUACAACACCGAAGGUGUUUUAG
RNAcentral lists this ribosomal RNA (2920 nucleotides) under Edwardsiella tarda. Its description in RNAcentral is "bacterial LSU rRNA". It matches the Rfam family "Bacterial large subunit ribosomal RNA". The record is from RNAcentral. Lineage: Bacteria; Pseudomonadati; Pseudomonadota; Gammaproteobacteria; Enterobacterales; Hafniaceae.